Long non-coding RNA from Acinonyx jubatus (cheetah), 3504 nucleotides. RefSeq lists it as uncharacterized. The transcript has 4 exons. The record is from RefSeq and is a predicted model, not a curated record. NCBI's taxonomy places the organism in Eukaryota, Metazoa, Chordata, Mammalia, Carnivora, Felidae.
GCUCAAACUCACACCCUAUCGGGUCUCUAGCACCAGACAUUAGAGAUCAUUUAGUUUAGGGCCCUCACUUAAAAUAUGCUCAAGGUCAAGUAGGAAGUUGAGAGCCGAGGUCCUCAAGCCCAUGUCCUCUGCUUGUUUCACUCCCCACCUGCCUCCUUCCCUCCAUCUGCUUGUCAAAGUCUGGCAAGCCCCAGCUCAACUCCCACCUCUUCUUAGAAGUCUUUUUUCAGAUCCCCCAAGGUGAACUGGUCUACACUUUCCCCAUAGCUACACCAUGGCAAGCUCUGAACAUUUUUUAUAAUACUUACCAGUCUUCUUGGUAUUAGAGUUCACCAUCCAUGCUUCUGUCUUCGCCCGGUUUGCCUGAAGAACAAAGACACAAUUUACUCACUUCGCAUGUGCACUGUGCUCUGCUUACAUCAAGGCCAUCAUGAAACGCUCAUUGACUUGAUUAUUAAGGUUGUGUAAUGUGGACCAUUUAUCUUAGAAGAGAGAAGAUUUAGCAGAAUGGAACUGGGCCUCAUGGGGAGGAAGGAUUAGAUUUAGCUACUCCGUUCCAGAGAAUAGAACGAGGGCAAGCAGUAGAAGUCACCAGGGGGCAGAUCUGAUCUGUUUGGUUGGAGAGAAUCCUUCACAGGACAGGCUUUUAUUUAUUUAUUUAUUUAUUUAUUUAUUUAUUUAUUUAAGUUUAUUCAUUUUGAGAGAGAGAGAGAGAGAGAGAGAGAGAGAGAGCAUGCACCGGGGAGGGGCAGAGAGAGAGGGAGAGAGAGAAUCCCAAGCAGGAAUCCCAAGAAAGCCCGGCAGGGGGCUCGAUCUCAUGAAACAGGAGAUCAUGAGCUGAGCCGAAACCAAGAGCUGGACAUUUAACCGACUGAGCCACCCAUGUGCGCCAUGACAAUCCUUGAAUAAGGAGAUGGGUGUCUCAUGAGAAGUGAGAUUCCAUCAGUGAAAUUGUUCAAGCAGAAGCGUCAUGACCACCGUCGGUGAUGAGGAAGACAGGAAUAUAGGAUACAUCCCUGAGAUUCCCCGUUGGCUCUCUGUGUUUCAACAUCAUAAAGAUCUUGGUGCCAUGUUAGGGUUCACGUGUAGUCACAGACACAGUAUUAUGAGGGGUGCACUAACAGGUUUGAGACCGAGUCCGGCACACCUGGGUCCAGGUACAGCUGGGUCUCAGCUUGGCUCUCACCAGUCCAGUGUGCAGAAGGGACGGUACCUCCACAAAAAGCCAGCCCCUUUCCCCACUCCCUGUGUUGCUUGCCAUAUCCCCUCCCUCACCUUUCCCCAUUCUGCUCAUUUCUGUCCUGUGCACCUGCAAGGUCAGCUUCAUGCUGAAUUUUACUACAGUGAAAAGUCCUGAGUGUCUCACGGUUGUGUGCUGAAACCUCUCAGCUUAGCCUCGGGGUGUAGUGUUAUAUUCAAACCUUUUCGAGCAUUUCCACAUAAAGGCCCUGAAUCCAUCUUUUCUAGGCUCUUAGCCUUGGAGCUAUAGUUUUUCUGUUUCUUCUGGCCAUUCCAUUCCAUUUUCAAAGUAUGGGUCUAGCUAUUACUUUUCUGGCUGGGUCCCAGGUAGACUUUUGUAAGCUUCCAGCCACAACCUUUCCAUUUUCAUGGGCUUGUCACCAUCAAGUAGGUACCCCUCUGGUAUUGCUCUCAGGAUCCCGUUUUCCCCAUUUUGGGGGCUCCCGUCUGAGACUUCUCCCCAACCGCUGCAUACCCAGGUAUUGAUUGUGAUCUCCCAUUGACCCCUCUCCCCCAAGGUCUACCUAGUUUUCUUUACAACACAGUUUGGCUUCCUACCCAUGGCCCUGAGUUCCUCUGGCAUCUGGCCUCGUUUGUAAGGUUCUCGCUCAGAGGGUUCAGGUCAGUAGAAUAUCCACCAUUCAUCAGCCUGAUACGUUUGCAAUCUCCAAAGUAUCUACCUUCAUAACGUUCAUUUCUAGGUAAUAUCAAACUUAAGAGUGGGUUCUAUUUCAAAAGUUCAUUUGUUUUUUUAUUUUAAUAUUUUUAUUUAUUAUUUAUUUGUUUAUUUAUUUAUUUAGAGAGCAUGUAAACACGGGGAGGGGCAGAGGGAGAGAGAGAGAGAAAGAGAGAGAGAGAGAGAGAGAGAGAGAGAGAGAGAAUCCCAAGCAGGCUCCCUGCUCAGUGUGAAGCCAGAUGUGAGGCUUCAUCUGAUGACCCUGGGAUUAUGACCUGAGCCAAAAUCAAGAGUCAGAUGCUCAACCCAGGCGCCUCUCAAAAGUUCAUGUGUAAAGGACUUGUUUAGAACUCACAUUUUUUCCUUGCCGUAAUGUUCUUCAUGGUGGUUAGUUUUGCCAGGCCAGUCCAGGAGAACCCAUCUAACCUUCAGGAUUAGGCUGGACUGCCAGGACCACAGAAUGAUUAGGAGUAAUAAUAGGUGAACAGAAUACAAUCAUGGAAUAGAACAGUGUUUCUAUGGGGAAAUAUUUUCAGAGUUCUAACUAAGAAUGCUGGGAUUCCUUUAACUGCCCGCAGUUUGCACCCUUAGUAAAAGAAAACAAAGCCACUACAAUUUAGGGAGGGGUUACUCUGCACCAGGUGGGGUAAACUCAUUAUGUGAGUGAUAUGGUUUCAUCCUCAUGUCAACACUGAUGGAGAGUGGUGUCGGUACUGCUAUUAAUCCACAUUUUGAAGAUGAGGGAAUGGAGGCCAAAAGAACUGAUCUCAGGGACUUUGGACAGGGAUUCUGGUAAAAUAAAAUCUGGUGUACUACUCGACCCAGUUCGCCAACUCCAUCAUGUUGGAGAAGAUCAGAGUGAAAAGUCAGUGGAAAAAUUCAAUGGCCCCAGAGAAAAUACUCACACAUAGUGACAGCUGGGAGGAAGGUUUUCAGCCAAGGCAAAUCAACGUGGCUGAAAUUCCCACGAGAAAGUAGACCAGGCAUGAGAACUGAGUAUGUACCUGUCUGGAAGCCAGAGCCUUUGAUAAGCAAGAGAACCAGGAAGAAAACUGCUUAGAUUUCCACUGCUAACGGCUGACUUAGCAGAAGGUGGCUUCUGAUACGCACUGGGAGAGGUGGGAGAGCAGUGAUGAUUUCCUUUCUCCCAGACAGAUACUUUACAUUGCAUCACACCCUCUUCAACUUGACCUGGCUGCAUCCUCUGUCAACUUCAGCUUCAGUUUUUGAAGUAGGAGGAUUUACCUGUCACACACUUCUAUUAGGGUUACUAAUUCUCAUUCUGGUCUGCCAGGGACUUUCCCACUUUUAAUAAAAAACAUCCCACCCACUACCAGUCCCUUUAGUCCCAGGCAAACUGGGACUGUCUCACUCAUCCAAGAUGCACGUGAAGUGCUAGGAGUGCUUGGUCUGUACACAGAAUGUUCUAGGCAGCAUCGGGUAGGAAAUGCAAUUGCUAGAACACAAUGUAGCUCUGAAGUCUUAUCUGCCCUGAUAGGGGUGUAUGGAGCCUGGGAGGCAGCAGGGAGGAGCUAGGGUGGCUUUGGGUGGUGUUGUGCCCAUCGAGCCCACCCCAGGGGAGAAAGUGC